UACGAGGGGUGCAAACGUUAUUCGGAAUCACUGGGCGUAAAGGGUGCGUAGACGGCAAGAUAAGUCAAUCAUUAAAUCUCCUGGCUUAACCAGGAACCUGUGAUUGAAACUGACUUGCUUGAGGAUGGAAGAGAGAAGCGGAAUUCUCGGAGUAGCGGUAAAAUGCGUAGAUCUCGAGAGGAACACCGAUGGCGAAGGCAGCUUCUUGGUCCAUUUCUGACGUUGAUGCACGGGAGCGUGGGGAGCAAACAGG
This 253-nucleotide ribosomal RNA is filed under the name uncultured bacterium. RNAcentral describes it as "partial 16S ribosomal RNA". It matches the Rfam family "Bacterial small subunit ribosomal RNA", at positions 524 to 776 of the family's 1533-position model. The record is from RNAcentral.